This 281-nucleotide microRNA precursor is filed under the name Picea abies (Norway spruce). RNAcentral describes it as "miR11410 stem-loop (pab-MIR11410)". Lineage: Eukaryota; Viridiplantae; Streptophyta; Pinopsida; Pinales; Pinaceae. The record is from miRBase by way of RNAcentral.
AAGUAUGUCACUCGAAGAAGUCAUGCUAGGCUUGCUCAGCGUCUUGCUGGACUUGCAAAUCUGUAUUGGUUUAUGAGAACUUGCUCGAUUUGCAACUUUGUUUUCAUUAUGGCAAUUUGCCAUAAGCAAAGACAGACUUGCAACACUACCUUGGUUUAUGACAAAUUGCCAUAAACCUAAGCAAAGUUGCAACUCUAAUAAGUUACCAUAAAUCAAGGCAGACUUGUAAGUCCAGCAAGAGGCCGAGUAAACAUAGGUUGACUUCUUCCGACCACAUACUU